GUCUACGGCCAUGCCACACUGAACAAGCCUGAUCCUGUCUGAUCUGAGAAGCUAAGCAGGGUCCAGUCUGGUUAGUACUUGGAUGGGAGACCACCUAGGAAGACCAGGUGCUGUAGGUG
Molecule: ribosomal RNA, 119 nt
Filed under: Pteropus alecto (black flying fox)
Lineage: Eukaryota; Metazoa; Chordata; Mammalia; Chiroptera; Pteropodidae
Source: RNAcentral